AGAGUUGAACGCUGGCGGCAUGCUUUACACAUGCAAGUCGAACGGUAACAGGUCUUUCGGGAUGCUGACGAGUGGCGAACGGGUGAGUAAUGUAUCGGAACGUGCCCAGUAGUGGGGGAUAACUACUCGAAAGAGUGGCUAAUACCGCAUGAGAUCUCUGGAUGAAAGCGGGGGACCGUAAGGCCUCGCGCUACUGGAGCGGCCGAUAUCAGAUUAGGUUGUUGGUGAGGUAAAGGCUCACCAAGCCUGCGAUCUGUAGCUGGUCUGAGAGGACGACCAGCCACACUGGGACUGAGACACGGCCCAGACUCCUACGGGAGGCAGCAGUGGGGAAUUUUGGACAAUGGACGCAAGUCUGAUCCGGCAAUGCCGCGUGCAGGACGAAGGCCUUCGGGUUGUAAACUGCUUUUGUACGGAACGAAAAGCCUUCUUCUAAUACAGGAGGGUCAUGACGGUACCGUAAGAAUAAGCACCGGCUAACUACGUG
This 487-nucleotide ribosomal RNA is filed under the name uncultured bacterium. RNAcentral's name for it is "bacterial SSU rRNA". It matches the Rfam family "Bacterial small subunit ribosomal RNA", at positions 28 to 507 of the family's 1533-position model. The record is from RNAcentral.